AUAGACGGUACCCUGGGAAUAAGCAUCGGCUAACUCCGUGCCAGCAGCCGCGGUAAUACGGAGGAUGCGAGCGUUAUCCGGAUCAUUGGGUUUAAAGGGUGCGUAGGCGGACUAUUAAGUCAGUGGUGAAAUCCUGCAGCUUAACUGCAGAACUGCCAUUGAUACUGAUAGCCUUGAGUUUGGUUAAGGUAGGCGGAAUGUGUAAUGUAGCGGUGAAAUGCUUAGAUAUUACACAGAACACCAAUUGCGUAGGCAGCUUACUGAGCCGACACUGACGCAGGCACGAAAGCGUGGGGAUCGAACAGGAUUAGAUACCCUGGUAGUCCACGCCGUAAACGAUGAUUACUCGCUGUUGGCGAUACACUGUCAGCGGCUAAGCAAAAGCAAUAAGUAAUCCACCUGGGGAGUACGGCCGCAAGGUUGAAACUCAAAGGAAUUGGCGGGGGCCCGCACAAGCGGAGGAACAUGUGGUUUAAUUCGAUGAUACGCGAGGAACCUUACCUGGGCUUAAAUGUAGAGUGCAUUUUCUAGAGAUAGGAAUUCCCUUCGGGGCUUUCUGCAAGGUGCUGCAUGGUUGUCGUCAGCUCGUGCCGUGAGGUGUCGGGUUAAGUCCCAUAACGAGCGCAACCCUUAUCGUUAGUUGCCAUCUGGUAAAGCAGGGGACUCUAGCGAAACUGCCACCGUAAGGUGAGAGGAAGGUGGGGAUAACGUCAAAUCAGCACGGCCCUUAUGUCCAGGGCUACACACGUGUUACAAUGGUCGGUACAGAGGGCAGCUACCUGGUGACAGGAUGCUAAUCUCGAAAACCGGUCUCAGUUCGGAUCGAAGUCUGCAACUCGACUUCGUGAAGCUGGAUUCGCUAGUAAUCGCGCAUCAGCAUGGCGCGGUGAAUACGUUCCCGGGCCUUGCACACACCGCCCGU
Molecule: ribosomal RNA, 922 nt
Filed under: uncultured bacterium
Lineage: Bacteria
Description: bacterial SSU rRNA
Rfam family: Bacterial small subunit ribosomal RNA
Source: RNAcentral